Limulus polyphemus (Atlantic horseshoe crab) is the source of this 669-nucleotide long non-coding RNA. RefSeq lists it as uncharacterized. The record is from RefSeq and is a predicted model, not a curated record. Lineage: Eukaryota; Metazoa; Arthropoda; Merostomata; Xiphosura; Limulidae. The transcript has 2 exons.
CAUGAACCUAGAUCAUAGACUAUAAUUCCUACCGGUCUAAUAAUGUUAAACCGAAAACGUUCAGCCACUACGCCAACAUUAACAUGGAUUAUGAGAUAUGACCGGAGCCAAAGAGUACACUGAUUAUAUUGUUUAUCAAACAAGAUUUGCACCACUCCAAAUAUAGACCGAAUUCUGUAAAACUAUAUAUUUUUUUUUUACACAGUGUGUAUUGUAUUAUUCUUCACAUAACAAAACUAUAAUGCUUGUAAAAUGACCACUUGGUUUUAUGAACUUAGAGAAUAGAACACAACAAUUGUUCCAACAAUGAUCUUGUUUAAACUGAAGUAGAGAAGGAGGUGCAUUCUGUAUCUGUUACUCUUUCACCAUUACUUGUGGGUAGGUCUCUAGUCAGUAGUGAACUGUUAGGCCAAUGAAGAACGUUUGAAGAACUUGACCUUUCGGUUGUACGGAAAAAGCUUCUUUAAAAGCUCAUAGCCACACGAUGGGCUAUCUGCGAUCUGUUCACUCGGGAAAAGAAACACAGGAUUUUAGCGUCGUAAGUCAUAGACUUAUCGCUGACCCAUGAGGGGGGCAUUUAAUGAAAAGUCUUGAAUUUCAAAGUACAUAUAUGCGAAUUAGUUGAAAGAACCAACUAUAGAUGGUAAUUAAUAAAGAAUUGUGAAUUGA